Molecule: long non-coding RNA, 474 nt
Filed under: Gallus gallus (chicken)
Lineage: Eukaryota; Metazoa; Chordata; Aves; Galliformes; Phasianidae
Description: lncRNA (ENSGALG00010002665.1)
Source: RNAcentral
UGGAGCCCAGCACUGCUCCAUGUCAGUGCAGAGCCAGCCCCAGCUGCUCCAGAAGGGACCCCCAGCCUGAGCUGAGCCUGGUGGUAAUUGCUGACAUCAAACCAAAAGUCAAAACAUUAUUCUGACUGAAUCAAUGCAUCAUGUCCUGUGGCUGCCUGCAAUGUGAUUGUGUACCCCCGUGCGACCCAUGACAAGUCUGGCUUGUUUUGCAGUGUGGUAACGCACACGUCUGGUAUUGAGACUGAUGAAAUCACAGCCUUGCUUCUUCCCCAGGCUGUGCUCUCUUUUAAAAAGAUUUCAUUGUGUCACAAUACUAGAAGUAAAUAUACUUGUGUCUUAAUCACCAUCUAGCAGGUAUGAACCCUUUUUCUUUUGCUUAUGCACAUUAUCAUAGGCUCUGUCUCUAAAGAGGGCUACGUUGGCAGGUUUUUGGAAGUAGAAGCUUGAGAAGGUAUGAAAUUAGUACUGAGAUGC